UACGGAAGGCAGCAGGGGGGAAUAUUGGACAAUGGGCGAAAGCCUGAUCCAGCCAUGCCGCAUGAGUGAAGAAGGCCUUCGGGUUGUAAAGCUCUUUUAGUGAGAAAGAUAAUAGACGGUACUCACAGAAGAAGUCCCGGCUAACUCCGUGCCAGCAGCCGCGGUAAUACGGAGAGGGCUAGCGUUAUUCGGAAUUAUUGGGCGUAAAGAGCGCGUAGGCUGAUUAGUAGUUAAAAGUGAAAUCCCAAAGCUUAACUUUGGAAUUGCUUUUUAAAACUGCUAGUCUAGAGAUUGAAAGAGGAUAGAGGAAUUCCUAGUGUAGAGGUGAAAUUCGUAAAUAUUAGGAGGAACACCAGUGGCGAAAGGCGUCUAUCUGGUUCAAAUCUGACGCUGAGGCGCGAAGGCGUGGGGAGCAAACAGGGAUUAGAUACC
This 432-nucleotide ribosomal RNA is filed under the name uncultured bacterium. Its description in RNAcentral is "bacterial SSU rRNA". It matches the Rfam family "Bacterial small subunit ribosomal RNA", at positions 340 to 786 of the family's 1533-position model. The record is from RNAcentral.